Molecule: ribosomal RNA, 767 nt
Filed under: uncultured Granulicatella sp.
Lineage: Bacteria; Bacillati; Bacillota; Bacilli; Lactobacillales; Carnobacteriaceae
Description: bacterial SSU rRNA
Rfam family: Bacterial small subunit ribosomal RNA
Source: RNAcentral
GACGAACGCUGGCGGCGUGCCUAAUACAUGCAAGUCGAACGAGAGCGACCGGUGCUUGCACUGGUCAAUCUAGUGGCGAACGGGUGAGUAACACGUGGGUAACCUGCCCAUCAGAGGGGGAUAACAUUCGGAAACGGAUGCUAAAACCGCAUAGGUCUUCGAACCGCAUGGUUUGAAGAGGAAAAGAGGCGCAAGCUUCUGCUGAUGGAUGGACCCGCGGUGCAUUAGCUAGUUGGUGAGGUAACGGCUCACCAAGGCCGUGAUGCAUAGCCGACCUGAGAGGGUGAUCGGCCACAUUGGGACUGAGACACGGCCCAAACUCCUACGGGAGGCAGCAGUAGGGAAUCUUCCGCAAUGGACGCAAGUCUGACGGAGCAACGCCGCGUGAGUGAAGAAGGUUUUCGGAUCGUAAAACUCUGUUGUUAGAGAAGAACAAGUGCUAGAGUAACUGUUAGCGCCUUGACGGUAUCUAACCAGAAAGCCACGGCUAACUACGUGCCAGCAGCCGCGGUAAUACGUAGGUGGCAAGCGUUGUCCGGAUUUAUUGGGCGUAAAGCGAGCGCAGGCGGUUCCUUAAGUCUGAUGUGAAAGCCCCCGGCUCAACCGGGGAGGGUCAUUGGAAACUGGGGAACUUGAGUGCAGAAGAGGAGAGUGGAAUUCCAUGUGUAGCGGUGAAAUGCGUAGAUAUAUGGAGGAACACCAGUGGCGAAGGCGACUCUCUGGUCUGUAACUGACGCUGAGGCUCGAAAGCGUGGGUAGCAAACAGG